Molecule: ribosomal RNA, 253 nt
Filed under: uncultured prokaryote
Description: partial 16S ribosomal RNA
Rfam family: Bacterial small subunit ribosomal RNA
Source: RNAcentral
CACGGGGGGAGCAAGCGUUGUUCGGAAUUACUGGGCGUAAAGGGCGUGUAGGCGGUCUGGUAAGUGGGAUGUGAAAUGCCCCGGCUCACCCGGGGACCUGCAUCCCAAACUACCUGGCUUGAGUAUGGGAGAGGAUGAGGGAAUUCCAGGUGGAGCGGUGAAAUGCGUAGAUAUCUGGAGGAACGCCGGCGGCGAAAGCGACUCUCUGGUCUGCAACUGACGCUGAGGUGCGAAAGCUAGGGGAGCAAACGGG